UCCCCGUUCACCGGGGCAGUCCCCUCAGAGUGCCCGGCAUGACCCGGUAGCAACAGAGGGCGAGGGUUGCGCUCGUUGCGGGACUUAACCCAACAUCUCACGACACGAGCUGACGACAGCCAUGCAGCACCUGUGUUCCCGUUCCCUUUCGGGCACAGCCCGCUUUCGAGGGCCUCCAGGACAUGUCAAGGGUAGGUAAGGUUUUUCGCGUUGCAUCGAAUUAAUCCACAUAAUCCACCGCUUGUGCGGGUCCCCGUCAAUUCCCUUGAGUUUUAACCUUGCGGCCGUACUCCCCAGGCGGGAUGCUUAAGGCGUUAGCUGCGGCACCGACAGGCAAGCCUGCCGGCACCUAGCAUCCAUCGUUUACGGCGUGGACUAC
RNAcentral lists this unclassified non-coding RNA (379 nucleotides) under uncultured bacterium. RNAcentral describes it as "contains 16S-23S intergenic spacer region". The record is from RNAcentral.